RNAcentral lists this ribosomal RNA (245 nucleotides) under uncultured bacterium. RNAcentral describes it as "partial 16S ribosomal RNA". It matches the Rfam family "Bacterial small subunit ribosomal RNA", at positions 103 to 334 of the family's 1533-position model. The record is from RNAcentral.
CGGGUGAGUAACACGUGGAUAUUCUACCCGACAGUCAGGGAUAACAUUUCGAAAGGAAUGCUAAUACCUGAUAAGCCUACGCCCUCUUCGGAGGAAGUAGGAAAAGGUGGGGACCUUCGGGCCUGCCGUUGUUGGAUGAGUCCGCGGCCCAUUAGCUAGUUGGUAGGGUAAUGGCCUACCAAGGCUACGAUGGGUAGCUGGUCUGAGAGGAUGAUCAGCCACACUGGAACUGAGACACGGUCCAG